AUUGAACGCUGGCGGCAGGCCUAACACAUGCAAGUCGAGCGGAUGAAGGGAGUUUGCUCCUGGAUUCAGCGGCGGACGGGUGAGUAAUUCCUAGGAAUCUGCCCUGUAGGGGGGGAUAACGUCCGGAAACGGGCGCUAAUACCGCACACGUCCUGAGGGGGAAUUUGGGGGAUCUUCGGACCUCACGCUAUCUGAUGAGCCUAGGUCGGAUUAGCUAGUUGGUGGGGUAAAGGCCUACGAAGGCGACGAUCCGUGACUCGUCUGAGAGGAUGAUCAGUCACACUGGAACUGAGACACGGUCCAGACUCCUCCGGGAGGCAGCAGAGGGGAAUAUUGGACAAGGGGCGAAAGCCUGAUGCAGCUAUGCCGCGUGUGUGAAGAAGGUCUCCGGAUUGUAAAGCACUUUAAGUUGGGAGGAAGGGUAGUAAGUUGAUACCUUGAUGUUUUGACGGUACCAAAAGAAAAAGCGCCGGCUAACUUCGUG
Molecule: ribosomal RNA, 484 nt
Filed under: uncultured bacterium
Lineage: Bacteria
Description: partial 16S ribosomal RNA
Rfam family: Bacterial small subunit ribosomal RNA
Source: RNAcentral